UGGUCAAGUUAUUAAGGGUGCAGGGCGGAUGCCUUGGCACUAGGAGCCGAUGAAGGACGUGAUAAGCUGCGAUAAGCUUCGGGGAGUUGCACGUAAACUUUGAUCCGAAGAUUUCCGAAUGAGGAAACUCACUUAGAGUAAUGUCUAAGUAUCAUUAAGAGAAUACAUAGCUUAAUGAGGGGAACUCAGGGAACUGAAACAUCUAAGUACCUGAAGGAAGAGAAAGAAAUUCGAUUCCGUAAGUAGCGGCGAGCGAACGCGGAUUAGCCCAAACCAAUAAAGUUUUCUUUAUUGGGGUUGCGGACAUAUCAUAACGAAGAGGUAUCGUAAUUGAAGAGGUUUGGAAAGACCCACCACAGAAGGUAAUAGUCCUGUAUGUUAAACGAGAAGACUUUAGAUAUGAUCCAGAGUACCACGGGACACGUGAAACCCGGUGGGAAGCAGGAGGGACCACCCUCCAAGGCUAAAUACUACCUAGUGACCGAUAGCGUAUAGUACCGUGAGGGAAAGGGGAAAAGAACCCCGGGAGGGGAGUGAAAUAGAACCUGAAACCCUGCACUUACAAGCUGUGGAAGCACAUUUCUUGUGUGACCGCGUACUUUUUGUAGAACGGGCCAACGAGUUACGUUAAGUAGCAAGGUUAAGCACUUAAGGUGCGGAGCCGUAGCGAAAGCGAGUUUUAACUGAGCGUUCAGUUACUUGACGUAGACCCGAAACCGGGCGACCUACCCAUGAGCAGGAUGAAGCGAAAGUAAAAUUUCGUGGAGGUCCGAACCCACGAGCG
RNAcentral lists this ribosomal RNA (784 nucleotides) under Clostridioides difficile. RNAcentral describes it as "bacterial LSU rRNA". It matches the Rfam family "Bacterial large subunit ribosomal RNA", at positions 1 to 788 of the family's 2925-position model. The record is from RNAcentral. Lineage: Bacteria; Bacillati; Bacillota; Clostridia; Peptostreptococcales; Peptostreptococcaceae.